AGAGGCUGAGACAUUAGUAGGUCCGGGCAGCUGCAGGAACAUUCAGUGUCUCCAGCUGGCCUCUAUUUGCUGCCAUCUCUAAAAAGUGGCAUCCCCCAUGGCCUAGGAUCUGCCCCAAGAUUCUCUCCCCACUCCCUGCCUAUCCCCUCUCCCAAUGCUUUUGCCUGACUCAGUUGUUCUCCGGCUUUGGGGGCAUUAUAAUGACUGGCUUUGGAUCUGCCCAACUUUGGGGGCCACUGAACAUGCCUUCAAGGGGGGGGGUCUUGCUGCCCUGAGUGAUACUUCAUGUGUCACAGUUUCAAACCUCUGACCUGCAGAAAGGUGGACUCCAUUACAAAGGGGACAGUGCCUUGGGGAAUUCCUACAGCUGACCUGAGCUGCUUACUUGAAAAUGGGAAGCAGACUAACUAUCCUCACAGAAGUGUGCAGCCACUGAGAAAGACCAUCAGGCGAUCCAAUCUUUAUAGCAACAAUGUCCACAACAGCCAAACUAUGGAACGAACCUAGAUGUCCAUCAACAGUUUUCGAGUUAAAUAAACAAAUGCGCUGUGUACACCAUAACAGCCUGUAGGACCUACCCGCGGAGUCGUAGCCUCUGUACUCAAGCCUCUGCAGGCCCUUAAUGAGGGUCUCGAAAAUCUCCUUCCUCGUCCGGGGCACUCUGUAGUUCAUGUAUGCGAAGAUUCCUGUGAAAAGAGAGGAAAACCACACGUCUGUCAAUCAGCUGCAAAGAUCAGCAAAACCGCCUGGCCACUUGGGAACGUCUGGAGUCCUCGUCUAUGUGGACCUCUUGAUCUGCACAGAACAGAACUGGGAAGAGUCCUCCUACAGCAGGUGAAACAGGGGCUGAGACCUCAACACCUUUUUCCCACUUGCCCCUGUAGCCUGGAGCUUUAGCAUCAAUAAAUGUUGCUUUUACAGUAGCAAAAAUAAAACCACCUCUUGGCCUGCAGGGAAUCCCUAUCUUCAAGAAUCCCUAUCUUCAAGAUAGAUCUGCAUGCCCUGAAGACUUUAUGUGGCUGUAUUUCUGUAUUUGUAUUUCAAAAUACUAUUUUCCCAAAAAGGGAGGAACAGUCGCCCUGUUGGUGUUCUUCCCAAAUUCCUUUGCCCUGAGACUAUGGACCCCUGGUCUGUCUCUGUCCCACCCUGCAAGCUCCUUAUCCUGGCAUCCCUCUUUCCUUUUGUCCACCCUGCCCCACUGAGGGGAAUCUAACCUCCUCAAAGCUCAGCUCCCACCACCUCCCAGGACUGGCUCAUCCCUCCCAGGCCCCCACCGGGAGUGCUCCCUGCUCUGGGCCACCCCUGUGCCCGCGCAUCUUGGAAUACCUUCAUCCCCCGGUAAGAACACAGGCUGGCACAUCUAUCUUUAUACUUCUCACUAUGUCUUGGCACACCGUCCUUGUUCAAUAAACGUAUGUGGAGUAGAGUGACUGUAAAUCUACUUUAUUCAGGGAAGCAAGAGUAUAGAUCGUGAAGAAUUCUGGCCUUCAGGAAUAUUCAUAGUAACUCAUCUUACUGAGGACUUACUACGUGCCAGGCACUCUGCCAAGCAUUCCCACACGGAUGUCAAUCAAAGCUCCCAUCAGUACCUUUCUGGACCAGGAGCCCGGGAGGCUGUGACUUGACCUCAGGACUUAAAAUGCCCUAACCACUAGGAAGUGUUGCCUCAGGGAUGAAUGAGAUGAAAAGGCCUAUUUCCCUAAUUUUCAUAAUUUAACUUUAAUUUUAAAUUUCCUCAGGAAGACACAAAGUUCUAACCAAGAUUAAA
This is a long non-coding RNA of Mustela erminea (ermine), 1768 nucleotides long. RefSeq lists it as uncharacterized. Lineage: Eukaryota; Metazoa; Chordata; Mammalia; Carnivora; Mustelidae. The transcript has 4 exons. The record is from RefSeq and is a predicted model, not a curated record.